Molecule: small nuclear RNA, 107 nt
Filed under: Carlito syrichta (Philippine tarsier)
Lineage: Eukaryota; Metazoa; Chordata; Mammalia; Primates; Tarsiidae
Source: RNAcentral
AUGCUCACUUCGGCAACACAGAUGCUAAAAUUAGAAUGAUACAGAGGAGAUUAGGACCGCUCCUGAACAAAGAUGACACACAAAUUCGUGAAGCAGUUCAUAUUUUU